GGAAGCGUGGCAGAGUGGUUUAAUGCAACGGUCUUGAAAACCGUCGAGGGUUGAUAGCCCUCCGUGAGUUCGA
This 73-nucleotide transfer RNA is filed under the name Podoviridae sp. ct8mF2. Its description in RNAcentral is "tRNA-Ser". It matches the Rfam family "tRNA", at positions 1 to 56 of the family's 71-position model. From Rfam's summary of the family: Transfer RNA (tRNA) molecules are approximately 80 nucleotides in length. Their secondary structure includes four short double-helical elements and three loops (D, anti-codon, and T loops). The record is from RNAcentral. Lineage: Duplodnaviria; Heunggongvirae; Uroviricota; Caudoviricetes.